Molecule: long non-coding RNA, 2163 nt
Organism: Anser brachyrhynchus (Pink-footed goose)
Lineage: Eukaryota; Metazoa; Chordata; Aves; Anseriformes; Anatidae
Source: Ensembl
UGGGCUGAGCGAGAGCGCGGGCGGGCCGCGGGGGCCGGGCAUGGUGCUCUGAGGCGCUCUCGUUUCGCUGCGAGGGUCUGCUGAGGGUCAAUUGAUUUGCCUUUCAGCGCGGGGGGAGAAAGAGUUUUAACCCCGUUUUUUUGUUAGUGGAGACCUGUAAAGAGAAGGAAAUGAAAACUGAAAUAGUCACACGGUGUUGUGUCCCUUCCAGCUAACUGCUACGAAACACUCCUUGCUGCAGCGUGGGCUUGCACAGAUUCCUGUGCUUCCGCCUCAAGAAGCACAGACAAGCAUAAGGAAGUCUCAGGGCAAAUCCUGUUUAGGAGACAGCUGCACAGAAAAGAUAAUUCAAGAGUAGACCAUAGCAGGUCAAAUAUGAAGAGUGGCUUCCCACCUCUGCUCCCAGCAGUACGUGCUAGCCAAAAGCUGUUAGGGAGUUGUUUCCAGACAACUGAGAGCAUUUUAAAGGCCACACUCACCUGGGUGUUGGGUUUGAAUAGCAGAUUUUCCCUUCUGUAGAUUCUCCCUUCUCGUCUGGUGUUACAGUGUGAGCUCCCAGCCUUGUUUCAGUGUGCUUGCUCUCUGGGCUGAAGACCACAUAUUAGCUCGGAGCAGCAUUCGGGCAGCACUUUUAACAAGGAGCUUCUCGUCUGUUUGACAUGGGAGUAGAGAAAAGUUGGGCAGGCCAUGCAGUAUGGGUUCUUACAUAGGCCUCUGUAUGGAUGAGUGUGAUACUUGUGUGCAAAGGACAGGAAAUCUCAGAAGGGAGAACACGUCACUAAGGACAGAGAGAUCAGGACUAGCUCAGCCUGACCACGGAAAUGUCAAUGGGAAGAAGGAGCAGGACACAGUGGCGACCUUCCUUCUGCUGCCCUUGGAAGCUCUGUCUGGGACACGUGCCUUUGACCAGGUGCACCUGGUCAAAGAGGAUCCAGCUGCCCACCCUGUCUGCCUCUCUCCAGUGUGCCCCCUGUGACUGGGGAGAAAAAAAGGACACGAAGCUGCAGAGCGUGAAGCGAGUUGCAGGUCCUGUCUGUCCAAGGGAUCACAUUUGCUGGACCACAUGGGCUGGCAAGUACCAGGGCCAAUGUGACCAAGCCACGGCCCUGAAGAGGGGCCAAGUCUCCUGGGGAGCUGGAGCCCAAAGGAUCCUUUCGGACUGACUGAGCUGAAGAUCCCUUUGGGCUGGUGAGCUGGUGGAGCUUCCCCUGGCUGUAGUCAGCAACAGCGUGGUGUGGGAAAUGUGCCUCGGCCUCACCUUGCUUUGCUGCCCACAUACUGCGGUUUCCCAGGUAGGGCACGAGCCUGCUGGGGCUGCAUUUUGCUGAGACAGUGUCCUAAAGUCUUUCAAAAACAUCAGCAUAAAUUACCUUGUUUCAUUCCAUCUACAACUUGAAAAUGUCCCUUUUCUCUUAAGAGCAGCAUUAAAACAGAAAGGAGAGGUGGAUUUCUGUCCUUGCUUAUGAGGAGGGGGGGGAGAAUUACUUUUUUUUUUUUUUUUUUUUAGGNUGACCCUUGUGGGUCCCUUCCACCUCGGGCUAUUCUACAAUACCACGAUUCCAUGCCCUAAACCCGAUUUCCAACGUUCAGUCGCAAUUUGCUUCUACACUUCAUCCCCACCUCGUUAAUCCAGCCCCCCAAGGCCAGAAACCCCGCUCAGCACCGCGGACAGCGCCGGCCCCGUCCCGGCCCCGUCCCAUCCCGGUCCCGGGCCGGGCGCCGUGGGCGGCCGCCAUUUUGUCGUCGUCCCGCCCCGCCGCCCUGGGCUGAGCGAGAGCGCGGGCGGGCCGCGGGGGCCGGGCAUGGUGCUCUGAGGCGCUCUCGUUUCGCUGCGAGGGUCUGCUGAGGGUCAAUUGAUUUGCCUUUCAGCGCGGGGGGAGAAAGAGUUUUAACCCCGUUUUUUUGUUAGUGGAGACCUGUAAAGAGAAGGAAAUGAAAACUGAAAUAGUCACACGGUGUUGUGUCCCUUCCAGCUAACUGCUACGAAACACUCCUUGCUGCAGCGUGGGCUUGCACAGAUUCCUGUGCUUCCGCCUCAAGAAGCAAAGACAAGCAUAAGGAAGUCUCAGGGCAAAUCCUGUUUAGGAGACAGCUGCACAGAAAAGAUAAUUCAAGAGUAGACCAUAGCAGGUCAAAUAUGAAGAGUGGCUUCCCACCUCUGCU